CUACGGGAGGCAGCAGUAAGGAAUAUUGGACAAUGGGCGCAAGCCUGAUCCAGCCAUGCCGCGUGGGUGAAGAAGGCCUUCGGGUUGUAAAGCCCUUUUGUUGGGAAAGAAAAGCAGUCGGUUAAUACCCGAUUGUUCUGACGGUACCCAAAGAAUAAGCACCGGCUAACUUCGUGCCAGCAGCCGCGGUAAU
RNAcentral lists this ribosomal RNA (193 nucleotides) under uncultured bacterium. Its description in RNAcentral is "partial 16S ribosomal RNA". It matches the Rfam family "Bacterial small subunit ribosomal RNA", at positions 339 to 524 of the family's 1533-position model. The record is from RNAcentral.